This 3541-nucleotide ribosomal RNA is filed under the name Hirsutella thompsonii. Its description in RNAcentral is "LSU rRNA". It matches the Rfam family "Bacterial large subunit ribosomal RNA". The record is from RNAcentral. Lineage: Eukaryota; Fungi; Ascomycota; Sordariomycetes; Hypocreales; Ophiocordycipitaceae.
UAUAAGUAUACAAAGAAACUAUUAAGGAAUUAAAAGCUAUGUAUCAAAGAGAAUAAUUUAUAACAUAUUUUGUUAUAUAAACUCUAAGAGAAAUUUAAUACUAAACGAAGUGAAUUGAAAUAUCUUAGUAACUUCAGGAAAAUAAAUCAAAAGAGAUUCUAUGAGUAGGGUGAUUGAAAGUAGAGGUAAGCCUAUAAAGUAAAACGGUAUAAAACUGUUUGAAUAAAAUGGGGAACCUUCCUCAAAGGCUAAAUAUGACACAUAAGCAAUAGUGAACUAGUACCAUGAGGGAAAUAAGUGGAAAUAGUAGUUUUAUAAGCAGUUCGAAAAAAAGAACGUACCUUUUGCAUAAUGGGUCACCAAGUUAACAUUAGAUGCGAGUAUAUGCGUAGUUAAACCGAACGUUAAAAUAACGAAAUAGUGUCUAAAGUUAGACCCGAAGCACGGUGAUUUUACUAUAGUCAGGAUUAUAAAAGUCCGAACGGGUGAUUGUUGCAAAAAUCUCCGAAGAACUAUGGUAGGUGUAGUGAAAGACAACACUGACUGUGAUAGCUGGUUUUCUGCGAAACCUAUAAUAGUAGGCGAUUUAAGAAAAUAUCUUAGCAGGUACAUAAUUUAAUCUCAGACAAGACGUGUAAACGUUUUAUUUUGUACAAAUUGGGGGAUCGUGAAGAUUUUAUCAGUGAGUAUGUAGACUCGGAAUGGUAAAGAUAUCUCUUGAAUUAUCAGACAUAGAAUGAUAAGGUUGUAUGUCAAAAGGGAAACAGCCCAGAACAAGAGUUAAGGUUCCUAAAUUAUUAGUUAAGUGAAAUUAAGAAGGUUUUUAUUAAAGUCGACAAGGAGAUAGGCUUAGAAGCAGCCAUAAUUUUAUGACCUCGUAACAGAGCGCUUGUUAAGUUAUAAAAGCAUCGAAAAUUUAACGGAUCUAAACAAUAUACCGAAACCUUGUCUUUUUACAUAACAUAUGUUCACUUAUUGAUAAGAUAUCUUGAUAUGUUAUCUAUCCACAUUUAAGAAUAUGUUAUUAAGCAGAAGGAAAAAAAAAUAGUUUACAAAUAGGCAGUAUUGAGACGUAGUGAGUGCAAGGAAGGUUUGCCUAGUUUGUAUUACAUACUUCUGGUUUAUUUCUUCGGCGCUCGUUCCAGAAGCUCUUUUUUAUAAUAUUAUUGUGAUAAUAUAAUAAUAAUAUUGUAAAAAUAUUGCAUUGUAUUGCAAAACGAAUUAUUUAUAGAAUAUUCUUAUCACAAUAUUGUAUAAAUAUUUGCAGUAUAUUGCAAAACGAAUUAACUAUUUAUAGUAGUGUUAUAGUGGUAAUAAGCUAUAUAUAGUGUUAUAAAUGGUUAAUUUACUAAUUAAAGAGGACUAUUCCUGAUGGUAAAAAGGGUAGCAGAACGUUGAGUGUAAUGAAUAUUAUUUUUUAAAUAGAAUUAUUCUAAUAAUAUAACUCAAGUGAUAAUGGUGACAUGAGUAACUAAAAGAAAAAUUUUCCGCCUUAAGCUUAUGGAUAAAGUUAAGUAACGGCCUCUAAGUUUAAUAUCUAAAGAUUUAAACGAUGAGAAAAUCUUUUUUACUAAGGACAACAUUUUAGUGUAAAAUGUGCUGGAAAAAUAGUAAAUAUAUUUUUUUCUAGUCAGUAUGACUAGAAAACAAAUGAACAAUAACCGUACCUAGAAUCUGCUACAAGUAAGCUAGUAGAGAAUACGAAGGCGUAAAUGAGCUAACAAUCAUAAAGGAACUCGGCAAAUUGACUACUGUACCUUCGGAAUAAGGAGGUCUCGUAAUUCUUGAUUAAUAUCAGGUAAAAGGAAGAAGCAUAAAAUAAUGUUGUACGACUGUUUAAUUAAAACACAGCACUUUGCUGAAAGAUAAAAAAAUCUAAGUAUAAAGUGUGAAAUCUGCUCAGUGCCGGCUGGUUAACAGAGAUUAUUAAAUAUCUUAAUAUUUGAGUUCAACGGAAACCCCGGUUAAAGGCGGCCUUAUCGUGAGGGUCCUAAGGUAGCGAAAUGCCUUGGCCGUUAAAUGCGGUCUUGCAUGAAUGGUGUAACGAUACAACAGCUGUCUCUAUGAUUGACUCAGUGAAAUUGGAAUAGCUGUGCAGAUACAGCUUACCUCUAGUUAGACGAGAAGACCCUAUGCAGCUUUACUGUCACUAAUUAUGGAGUAUGAUAGAUAAUUUUCAGAUUAUAAGGUAAUUGAUUAAAUGACUAUGAGAACCCUUUAUUUAUCUUUCAUAUGAAUGAAUUGGUUUAGGAUUAUAAACAAAUAUAAUUAAGGAAACUUUAUGGCUGUGAAACAGCCACCUUUGUAUUUAUAAAGAGUUUAUAAUAGUAAAUCCACCUAGUUCAGUUUAUUAUUUUUUUUUUUAAUAGUAAAUGACCUUUGGUAAGGAACUAUCGCUAGGAGACAGUUUAUGUGGGGCACAGACCCUGUAAAGAGUAAACAGGAGUGUCUAAAAAUAUAUAAUUAUUUUGUUUGCUAUUUUAAAUAGUGCUGUUAUAACAGUACUAUUUUUAAUCAUAUUUAAUUACUUAUAUUUACGUCUUUGAGUAGGCUGUGCGGUGCAUUCUUCGUAGCACUAAUUUUUUUUAUUAAUGAAAAAAAAUACAGCGGCUACGCGGCGGCUACGCCGCAACAAAAGCUCUACAAUAUAUGCAUGUUUAUACUAGUAAGUGUCUUUAAGGUAAGAUUUUUACUAAGGAGAAAUUAGAGAUAAUUGAAAAUAUUAUGAUUAGUAACCUUAUGCCGAGCUGCUUCGCAGAGUAAGCUAAGGCAAGCUAAGCUAAUAUUUUCUAGCUAUAAUUAUUUUAUAGUUAUGUUUUCAAUAUCUAAAAAGCCCAACGGCUAAAUCUUGCCUUACUGUUUGAUUAUCGACAAAUCUUACAGUUGCGUAAGCAGGGCAUAGGAUCACAAGAUACAAUAAGGAUAGAUCUUGGAUUAUUGGAAAAGCUACGCUAGGGAUAACAGGCUAAUUUGCGCAAGAGUGUACAAAACAAGUGCGCGGUUUGGCACCUCGAUGUCGGCUUAACUUAUCCUCAUGGAUGCAGAAACUAUGUAGGGUGCGACUGUUCGUCGAUUAAAAAGUUACAUGAGCUGGGUUAAAUACGUCGUGAGACAGUAUGGUUUCUAUCUUCUAGGGGGAAUUAGAAUAAAAUAAGAAUAAACUUUUGUACGCAAGGAACAAGAAGAGUUUAACUAGUCGGCUUCGUCGGCUAUAAAAAGUUAAAUUAUAGUUAUUAACCUAUGGUUUACCUGUUGUUUAUGUGCCCAAAUAUUAAAUAUGUAUAUUAUAUAUAUAUAUAUCUGUAUUAUUAUACACAGGGAUGUUUCUUUUACUAAGAUAAAUGUAUAGCAUAAGCACGGCAGGAAAGCUAAGUUAGUUAAAGAUAAGUGCUGAAAGCAUGUAGGCACGAAACUUAUCUUAAGAUAUUUCUUAAAUAUACGUAAUAUACUAUUACGAAAUUUAUAGGCUUUAUCCGUAAGAAUUUUGAAAUUUUUAAGAAUAAAGUACUAAUUUCAUAAUUCACUAGUUAUAUAUAUAUCU